RNAcentral lists this ribosomal RNA (252 nucleotides) under uncultured bacterium. RNAcentral's name for it is "partial 16S ribosomal RNA". It matches the Rfam family "Bacterial small subunit ribosomal RNA", at positions 524 to 776 of the family's 1533-position model. The record is from RNAcentral.
UACGUAGGGCGCGAGCGUUGUCCGGAUUUAUUGGGCGUAAAGAGCUCGUAGGCGGCUUGUCGCGUCGUCCGUGAAAACUUGGGGCUCAACCCCAAGCUUGCGGUCGAUACGGGCAGGCUAGAGUUCGGUAGGGGAGACUGGAAUUCCUGGUGUAGCGGUGAAAUGCGCAGAUAUCAGGAGGAACACCGGUGGCGAAGGCGGGUCUCUGGGCCGAUACUGACGCUGAGGAGCGAAAGCGUGGGAGCGAACAGG